GCUUCUGGAUCGGCCUCACGGACCGGAAUUCCGAGGGGGAUUGGGAAUGGAUCGACGGCACCGACUACAAAUCCACCUUCACGUUCUGGAAGGAGGGGGAGCCCAACAACAGCGGGAAUAACGAGGAUUGUGCCCACGUCUGGAUCGCGGGGAAGUGGAACGACGUUUACUGCACCUACGAGUGUUACUUCGUGUGCGAGAAGCCGCUGCCCCGCUGAGGGAUCCGCCUCUUCCCCCCCCCUAAUUUAUGGAAUCCCGGCCCGCGGCUCCCGCUUUUCCCGGGAUUCGGGACGCGGUCGGGUGUCCCCGCGCCAUAAAAGCGGGAAUUCGGGGGCUCCCCGCGGAGCUCCGGCGAAUAAAAGGGGGUUUUGUCCUUUU
Molecule: long non-coding RNA, 378 nt
Organism: Neopelma chrysocephalum (saffron-crested tyrant-manakin)
Lineage: Eukaryota; Metazoa; Chordata; Aves; Passeriformes; Pipridae
Exons: 2
Source: RefSeq, a predicted model, not a curated record